Molecule: ribosomal RNA, 300 nt
Filed under: uncultured Lactobacillus sp.
Lineage: Bacteria; Bacillati; Bacillota; Bacilli; Lactobacillales; Lactobacillaceae
Description: partial 16S ribosomal RNA
Rfam family: Bacterial small subunit ribosomal RNA (bases 56-300)
Source: RNAcentral
AAGACCACGUGGGCGGAGAGGGGGGAAAGCGUAGGGGGCAGGCGUGGUCCGGUGGUAUGGGGCGGAAAGGGGUGGGAGGCGGCUCAGUAAGGCAGGGGUGAAACCUCCAGGCUCAACCUGGAGACGCAACCGGAUACUGCUGUGGCUAGAGUCCGGUAGGGGAGCGUGGAAUUCCUGGUGUAGCGGUGAAAUGCGCAGAUAUCAGGAGGAACACCAGCGGCGAAGGCGGCGCUCUGGGCCGGAACUGACGCUGAGGAGCGAAAGCGUGGGUAGCAAACAGGAUUAGAUACCCUGGUAGUC